GCAAGUGCAAUUAAGCCCUCUUUGCUUUGCUUACCAAAAAGAAAAAAAAGUUAGGCCUUCUAAUAUGUGUCGAUAUCUCCAAAGUAACCGCCCUAUGUUUUUUAUGAUGACUAGAAAAACCACUUUGCUAGCCUAGAUCUUUGUUUUUCUCGAUAUAACUUUUUGGCAGGUAUUCAUGUUAGUUCAAUUACACUUUUAUCAAGACUUGCAUGUGUAUUUGUUUCUAUUAAACCCAAUCAAAACCUCUGCUCCUAAUCAAAGUGGCAUUUAAUUUCAUAACAACUACUCAUUUCUUUCUCUGAGUUUCAAUUUUCUAGUAUUCCAAAACCAAGAAAGAAGCUGCAUGAUUCAAUGGUAUGUAUGUCACUCUUAAUUCUUCUCCUUAUUCUUCUUCUGCUUCAACAUUAGCCUUAUGUAUGAGACUUUUCCAUUUUCUGAAUUGUUUGUUUUGGUUUUAGUUUUGAGUUCACUUUUUUGUAAGGAACGUGUAAAAAAAAUUAUUGUAGAGCCACCAUUUUGGCGGAGUCAGGAUUUUUAUCAUGAAAAUUCAAAAUGUAAACAAGUACUAUACACAAAAGGAAUUUAGAUGAACCUCUUGUAUGCGCCGUUACCUUUAGUUUUAAUUUAUAUGAUGUAGAUUGAAUAAAGAUAGAGUUUAAGAAAAAGAAAGAAGGAGAAGAUUUGAAAUCUAUGUUUUAUAAAUUAAAUAUGGCAUAACGUAUGUGUAUGAUUAAAAAGUUUUUGGAAUUAUUUAUGUUUUUCAACAUGUCUUAGUAACAUAUUUGUCUAGCUAAGAAAUCUCUGUCAUUAAGGUAAAAAUGAAAAAUUUAAGUUAAAUUGUUUCCAAAUUGUUAAAAAAUUAGACAUUUUAUCAUUCUUUUUGUAAUGAUAGGAAUACUCCUACUUAACUAAUAAUUAUAGAUAAAUGGGAUUUAACAACUUUUGAAAAUGCAGAUUACGUGCUAUAGCAAGUUAAUUACUCCUAAUAUACACUUAUAAUGUAAAAAAUAUUUGUAGAUGCAUCAAUGUACAUAAAUUGAAUCUUAAUAGUUUUUCAAGCUCUAAUAAAUUUUUUAUAUAUGCUUUUUUGUAACUAAAAAAAUGUUGUAAUUAACUGCAGCUUAUCGUGACAAUGAUGUUUGGAUCUGUAGCAAGAACGACAAGGGCAUUUAUGAUCCAACCGGUUUCAACCUUGACAACAUUGUUGUACUACAGCGAUCGCCUCCCUCGUAACCUCAAUUUGGACCGGCUGGUUCGUAAUGACUUGGUUGAUAGUGGAAACUAUUUGUUUCGUUUCCUUAUUCACUUUUUGAGAUGUUUUUGGUAGUUUCAUUUUCACUUAAUUAACUGAAGGGGAGCGUUAGAGCAAUAAUCAAGUUAUCUUCAUGAGCGGUA
Molecule: long non-coding RNA, 1395 nt
Filed under: Solanum tuberosum (potato)
Lineage: Eukaryota; Viridiplantae; Streptophyta; Magnoliopsida; Solanales; Solanaceae
Description: long non-coding RNA (STUB_LNC006740)
Source: RNAcentral